RNAcentral lists this unclassified non-coding RNA (255 nucleotides) under Hevea brasiliensis (rubber tree). Lineage: Eukaryota; Viridiplantae; Streptophyta; Magnoliopsida; Malpighiales; Euphorbiaceae. The record is from RNAcentral.
GGGGGGUGGUGUUGGGGGUCUAUAUAAUUUUAAUAAAAUUAUAUAGUUGCUAUUUAUAAAAUAUUAAUAAUUUACAUUUAAUUAAACAAAAUAUAUAAUUUUAGUCCUAAAAUAUUAGAAAUUACAAUGUAACAAAAAUUAUAAUUAAGCUAAGAUUCUUAAUAAGAAAUUAUAACUAAACUAAGAUUUUAGUGAGGCAAAAAAAUUUGAAGGUUUUAGUAAGAUGAGUUUUUUUAAAAUAGCCAUAAACCUAAU